AGUGUUCUUUUGUCUAGUUGUUUAGCAGAGUGCAAUGCCCUGUAGUGUCAUCUUGAGGGAAGAAGUUGAAACAGCUUAUGUCCAGGAUGUGAGAAAGUAUCUGUAGAUAUUUUCACAGCCCUCUUUUUGGUUCGUGCAGUAUAAGGUCCUCAAUGAAAGGCAGGCUGGUUGCAAUUAUUUUUUCUGCAG
Notechis scutatus (mainland tiger snake) is the source of this 189-nucleotide non-coding RNA. The record is from RefSeq and is a predicted model, not a curated record. NCBI's taxonomy places the organism in Eukaryota, Metazoa, Chordata, Lepidosauria, Squamata, Elapidae.